Molecule: ribosomal RNA, 497 nt
Filed under: uncultured bacterium
Lineage: Bacteria
Description: partial 16S ribosomal RNA
Rfam family: Bacterial small subunit ribosomal RNA
Source: RNAcentral
GAUGAACGCUGGCGGCGUGCCUAAUACAUGCAAGUCGAGCGAACAGACGAGGAGCUUGCUCCUCUGACGUUAGCGGCGGACGGGUGAGUAACACGUGGAUAACCUACCUAUAAGACUGGGAUAACUUCGGGAAACCGGAGCUAAUACCGGAUAACAUGUUGAACCGCAUGGUUCAACAGUGAAAGACGGUCUUGCUGUCACUUAUAGAUGGAUCCGCGCCGCAUUAGCUAGUUGGUAAGGUAACGGCUUACCAAGGCAACGAUGCGUAGCCGACCUGAGAGGGUGAUCGGCCACACUGGAACUGAGACACGGUCCAGACUCCUACGGGAGGCAGCAGUAGGGAAUCUUCCGCAAUGGGCGAAAGCCUGACGGAGCAACGCCGCGUGAGUGAAGAAGGUCUUCGGAUCGUAAAACUCUGUUAUUAGGGAAGAAUAAAUGUGUAAGUAACUAUGCACGUCCUGACGGUACCUAAUCAGAAAGCCACGGCUAACUACGUG